This 253-nucleotide ribosomal RNA is filed under the name uncultured bacterium. RNAcentral describes it as "partial 16S ribosomal RNA". It matches the Rfam family "Bacterial small subunit ribosomal RNA", at positions 524 to 776 of the family's 1533-position model. The record is from RNAcentral.
UACGUAGGGUGCGAGCGUUGUCCGGAAUUAUUGGGCGUAAAGAGCUUGUAGGCGGUCUGUCGCGUCUGCUGUGAAAAUCCGGGGCUCAACCCCGGACUUGCAGUGGGUACGGGCAGACUAGAGUGUGGUAGGGGAGACUGGAAUUCCUGGUGUAGCGGUGAAAUGCGUAGAUAUCGAGAGGAACACCUGCGGCGAAGGCGGGUUGCUGGGCCGACACUGACGCUGAUGCGCGAAAGCGUGGGGAGCAAACAGG